This is a long non-coding RNA of Vicia villosa (hairy vetch), 1543 nucleotides long. RefSeq lists it as uncharacterized. The transcript is spliced from 6 exons. The record is from RefSeq and is a predicted model, not a curated record. Lineage: Eukaryota; Viridiplantae; Streptophyta; Magnoliopsida; Fabales; Fabaceae.
UUGAUUCUAAAAAACUUUAAUCCCAAAAUCCUCUCUAUUUUACGAACUGCAACUCUGUCUUUCUUGCUUUUUUUUUAGAUUGGACGAUUUUAACGAAUCAUACUUUUGUUUUUUAGGUUAUUCAAGUGUCAUCUGUUGCUUUCUAGCUGGGUUCUUCGUCAACUGAAGAUAUGAAGGUUUUCAACGAAUCAUACUUAGGGGUUUCAAUCUUUCGUUGAAAAAUGUGAAAAAAGGUUGAAUACUCUCAGUCUCCUUUCAAAUAGAUAUGUCUUGGGGGAAGGAAAAGUAGCAAAUUUUCUUUUGAACACAUUUGGGAUUGUGGUAUUACGUUAGUCAGUUACCAAGGAGAAGCUGCUAACAGAAAGCAUUGGGUUCCUUCUUUUGAGCACCCUCAGCCGAUUUGCCAUUGAAGUUGGAUUGUCCAAGCAGGCUGCAACGUCUGCUUUCAUGAAAGACUACAGUUCAUGGAUUGCCAACAUAGCAUCAAAUUUACCUGUUUGGGACUAUACGGCAAAACUUAUACCAAUGUGUGCGUUUGAUGGUCUCCGCUACGGGGCUGUAUUUAUAGGGUAAGUAAUUUUGUGGUUGCUACUGUAUCUAUUGUAUCUAUUAUAUUUGACAGAGCAUGCUCUUCAUAAAAAUAGCCAUGUGAUUAUACCAAAUUUUGUCCUUGACAAAGACCCUUCAGUAUUGGAUCACAAUAUUAGCGGCAUUCCUAAGCAGGAGCUUAUGUGCUUGCAAGCCUUGAGUAUGUACAUAAUUCCUGGUGGCUCAUAUAUAGAAUUAGAAUUAUCAACAGAUAAAAUUCAAGAUGAAGACCAAGAAGCCUCUCUCUCUACUGGCAAAGGUGCUGCUACUCCACUGUCUGAUUUGGCUGCCAUACUAGACAUAGAUCUACCUAUAAUUGCAAUCCUGCUCAUUUAUAUGGAUGGAUAUAUUAUACUGUCUCAUUUCCUUAUUUGAGUUACGAGGCGAAGUGCUCUGUAUCUUCUCACGUGGCUUCGAGUACCACAACAGAAACAGUCACAACACCCGUUGAUCCAGUUGCAGCCUCAAAAUGAUGCAGGAUAGUAGGACGGAUCAGAUUAGUCUCAGAAAGUUGGGCAAACAAAAUGACAUUGUGGAAAUAAUGGAAAAGUUUGAUGAGGGUAAAGUAAAAGCAAUGGAUGCCUCCGAUGUAGUUAACGACAUGCCCGGAUUGUCAGAUGGAAGCAAGAGUUUGAUGUAGGUUCGAUGCCUGAAAAGUCAAAUUGGAAGUCUUACAGUAAUGAAAAGUCAAAUUGGAUCCCUUUUAGGCCAAACCACCUAGCAAAAGUAUAAGAGGGAAUUAUUAUUUAGGACCAAAUUGAUGGUUUUCUCAUAUUUGUUUUGUUAGUUAGUGUUUGCUUCUGGUUGUUAGCUCAGUCAUUCUACAGUUUUUUCCCUUAUUUCCGGUUUCUUUAGCUUUUCAGAUUGUUGAAUUGUUAAAGUAUGCACUUGUACUCUCAUCAGGCCUGCUUUUGAGAAUGAAUGCAAAUAUAUUGAUGAAUACUUGGAGAGUAUG